AUGACGCAGGAGUUUUGUGUGUCAACCCUCAAGUUGGACAAUCGGAGCGCUGAGGCUAAGGAUCUCCAUGGCCUGGUACUCGUCGCCAUCAACAUACUAAAGGGUCAGGUUGCUGUUGCCAACGGCAAUGUCAAACAAAUGCUGCACAACACCAAGAAUGGCACGGUUGCAAUGUUUAACCUCAGUUUCUGUGUGGUGGACUACGACCGCACGGUGAGCAUCCUCAAUAUAUGUGAGACCAUGAUAAAUGAGUACCACGGUGGCACGGGCGGUUCCAAUGAUGGAUCGCGGUCUUCUGCGCUGCUCGCCUGUUUGAGGAAACUUGAUGAACCUCUCAACGACAUUUGGCUAAGACUUCCUGAUAAUUCGGACGCGGAAAAGUUGCCCGAUGAUUACGAUGCCGUGGGCAAGCUGGUCAAACUUAACUUUUGCCUUGCUAGCACCAUAUAG
This 450-nucleotide ribosomal RNA is filed under the name Triticum aestivum (bread wheat). Its description in RNAcentral is "partial small subunit ribosomal RNA". The record is from RNAcentral. Lineage: Eukaryota; Viridiplantae; Streptophyta; Magnoliopsida; Poales; Poaceae.